Molecule: long non-coding RNA, 1327 nt
Organism: Triticum dicoccoides
Lineage: Eukaryota; Viridiplantae; Streptophyta; Magnoliopsida; Poales; Poaceae
Exons: 2
Source: RefSeq, a predicted model, not a curated record
CCCUCCCCAAACCGCCCAACUUCUCCACCACGGUCAAAUCCCCACCAGCCCCCACCUCCCUCCUCCGAUGCACCUCGCCCCGAUCCACCUGCUGCUCUGCCGGGGAGGCACGCCGUCGUACCCGUCCGACGCGCCGCCCCAUCCCCACCGGCUUCUUCCCUCGCCGGCACCACAACCUUCUCCCCCGCCCCGCGGCCCCCUUCCCCAUCCGGCUUCUUCCCCGCUGGCAUGACGGCCUCCUCCCCCAUCUGGCAUCUUCCCCCGCCGGCCCCGCGGCCUCCUCCCCGGCGCCGCCACGCACCUGGCCGUGCGCCAGCCGGGGAGCGAACUCCCCUGCUCCCGCGCCUCCCUCGUGCUUACUUCUCCCCGCCGCCGCAUCGGGUGCAACCGGCGCUCCUGCCACUGCCUCGAUCUGGUACCAAAAAGGAGCUCCUCUCCGGCAGGGCAUCGGGCUGGGUCACCACAACCUGAUUCGUGUGUCGCGUGCCUCCUACAGCCCCAUCGACGAGACGUCGAGAUCAAAAGGGCUAGUGAGUCCCUUCUCCUCUGCCACAUCCUCCUCCUAUUUCCCUUGUGCUACCCUUCCUCCUCUCUGGGCACAACGAGCUCCUCCGAGGAGGAUCCACCACAGCCGGCCAACGGUGCUCGUCUUGGCCAAUAUGGGUCGAGGCCACCCAUAGGUGAGCUCCUGCCAGCAUCCUAGCUCUCCCGCCACAGACCAAUACCCCGAUGAGAUCCCUUGAUCAUUACCCCUCAUCUGUCAGCAGUUUCAGCGACGGGUACAGUUGUGGCCUGGGUCGCAUUCGUGCAGCUCAGUCCGCAUGAAUGAUGCCAUUCGCCGGAGCGUUGGCGUGCAGUUCGGUGGGCCAGCACAGAGUUGCUACUGCCUACGAUGGGGACGGUGGCUGAUGUGGGCAUGGAGCAGGAGGCUGCCGUCGCUGCCGCUCAAUUUUGACCAGCUCGUAUGAGCCCGCAACCACCCAACAAGUUCAGAGUUUGUGUGUUCAGUGCAGUACUACAGUGCAAAUUCAGUGCAGUACCCAUAGUGCAAUGUAGUGCAGUUUCAGUUUCAGAGUCUCAUUCGAGGCCUCGUGGUGCUAUCCUCACUUAACUUUUGGUGUGCAGUGUUGUUCGCCAAUGUACACAGUGCACUUCACCGACGUGUGCAGUGCGGUUUGGUUUGCUUGUUUGUGCUUUCUUCGGCGGUUUCACUGCAGUUUUGCAGCUCAGCAGCUCAUGUCAGACUUCUUCUGUAAAUUUUGAUGGACUAGGCUGUAAAAUUUUAAAAGAUUGAUGUAGCUCAUAUACUGAAAAGUUUGCUGGUUUU